UUCACGCAUCCCUUGCCACUGAACAGGCACCACUGUCAGAGGGUUUCUGCAGCCCCUUGGCACACAGGAGACAGGAAGUGAGUCAACAACUCACUGAAUCCGCGAGGUGGCGGGGCCGGCUGAAAUCACCUCAUCUCUCCCUUCACUUUGCAGCAGAGAAAGCGAAGACUCAAAUGGAUUGAACGGAUCUUACAGAUUAAGGUGAGAUAGGCAGGAGCUGCAGUGCCACUUAGUCUCUUGUCACCUAGAAGGUGUGAUGUCUAUGAUGACCUGCAAAAGCAUGCAACACUGGCAGGAAGAAAAGAAUGCUCCCCAACGUUUCUGCUCUGGUCAGCGUCACUGGUCACCUUCUGACUGCCAAGUCCGGGACAGAAAUUUCGUGAAGUGACUGGCAGCAUCAUUCACCAAUCCUGGAGCCUGAGACCUCACUGAUCAUAAUUUAAUCCAGAUGGUGAUGAAUGUGCACCAGCCCUUGAACAACUAUGAGAUGGCCUUAGCAUCUAGUGUCACCCUCUGCUCACCAUCUACACAUCCUCCUGGGAGCUCAAGUUAUGGAAGAGCAACCAUCAGCAGGUGAACAUAGAUGUAUAUCUCAGCUCCAACCUGACCCUGACACUGCAACUUCCAUCCUCUCUUCUCUUCUACUUGAGUGCAGAGAAUUACCUCCAGCCAAACAUGGACCUAACAAACCCUCAGUUGCCCCUCUUCCCCAAAUCUGCUUCCUGCCUGAGUCCUCCCCAUAACAGCUAGAGUCAUUUUGGCUUCUCUAAUUCCCCCACCUGCCACUCUACACCAUCAGUAAACCCUGUCCUAUGGAUCACACACCUGGCCCCCUCUCACCUUCAUGGCUGCAAUCCCACGUGAAGCCACUUCCUCUCCCCCCUGGACUCAGCAGAAGCCUAUCUAGUCGGGGUCUUGGGGCUUUCACGCUUGCCUCCCCUGCAACAAAGCCUAUUAUCUACGUUACAACCAAAGCAAUCUUUGUAAAGAGACUAAACAAGUCAAACUCAGAGAAGCAGAGAGUAGAAUUGGCUGCCAAGGGCUGGGGAGUGGGAGAAACGGGGAGAUAUUGAUCAAGGGGUACAAAGGUUCAGUUAUGCAGGCUGGAUACAUUCUGGAAAUCUCAUGGACAGCAUGGUGACUAUCGUUAAUAAUACCAUAUUGUGUGCUUGAAAUGUGCUAAGAGAGCAAAUCUGAAAUGUCCUCACCCCCCCCACACACACACACACAAAGGUAAUGAGGUGACGUGAUGGAUAUGCUCAUUAGUUUGACUGUGAUAAUCAUUUCACAAUGUGUACAUAUAUCAAAACAUCACGUUGCAGUUUGUCCUAAUGAUAUGGUAUGUUUAUAUGAUUUCCUAAUACUGGAGCACCUUUGCAUUACAGGCCUAACUACAACUAAAUC
This is a long non-coding RNA of Lagenorhynchus albirostris (white-beaked dolphin), 1404 nucleotides long. RefSeq lists it as uncharacterized. The record is from RefSeq and is a predicted model, not a curated record. Lineage: Eukaryota; Metazoa; Chordata; Mammalia; Artiodactyla; Delphinidae. The transcript has 3 exons.